UACGGGGGGGGCAAGCGUUGUUCGGAAUUACUGGGCGUAAAGGGCUCGUAGGCGGCCAACUAAGUCAGACGUGAAAUCCCUCGGCUUAACCGGGGAACUGCGUCUGAUACUGGAUGGCUUGAGUUUGGGAGAGGGAUGCGGAAUUCCAGGUGUAGCGGUGAAAUGCAUAGAUACCAGGAGGAACACCGGUGGCGAAAGCGGUUUCCUGGCCGAGUACUGACGCUGAGGCACGAAAGCGUGGGGAGCGAACGGG
This 253-nucleotide ribosomal RNA is filed under the name uncultured bacterium. RNAcentral describes it as "partial 16S ribosomal RNA". It matches the Rfam family "Bacterial small subunit ribosomal RNA", at positions 524 to 776 of the family's 1533-position model. The record is from RNAcentral.